AGGUUUGAUCAUGGCUCAGAUUGAACGCUGGCGGCAUGCCUUACACAUGCAAGUCGAACGCGAAAGGGGGGCAACCCCCGAGUAGAGUGGCGAACGGGUGAGUAAUACAUCGGAACGUACCCAGUAGCGGGGGAUAACCUCUCGAAAGAGAGGCUAAUACCGCAUACGACCUACGGGUGAAAGAGGGGGAUCGCAAGACCUCUCACUAUUGGAGCGGCCGAUGUCGGAUUAGCUAGUUGGUGGGGUAAAAGCCUACCAAGGCCACGAUCCGUAGCUGGUCUGAGAGGACGGCCAGCCACACUGGAACUGAGACACGGUCCAGACUCCUACGGGAGGCAGCAGUGGGGAAUUUUGGACAAUGGGCGAAAGCCUGAUCCAGCCAUGCCGCGUGAGUGAAGAAGGCCUUCGGGUUGUAAAGCUCUUUCGGCUGGGACGAAAAGGUCCGUGCUAACACCACGGAUCCAUGACGGUACCAGCAGAAGAAGCACCGGCUAACUACGUGCCAGCAGCCGCGGUAAUACGUAGGGUGCAGGCGUUAAUCGGAAUUACUGGGCGUAAAGCGUGCGCAGGCGGUUUGCUAAGACAGGUGUGAAAUCCCCGGGCUUAACCUGGGAACUGCGCUUGUAACUGGCAAGCUUGAGUGUGGCAGAGGGGGGUGGAAUUCCACGUGUAGCAGUGAAAUGCGUAGAGAUGUGGAGGAA
RNAcentral lists this ribosomal RNA (701 nucleotides) under uncultured beta proteobacterium. RNAcentral describes it as "bacterial SSU rRNA". It matches the Rfam family "Bacterial small subunit ribosomal RNA", at positions 9 to 706 of the family's 1533-position model. The record is from RNAcentral. Lineage: Bacteria; Pseudomonadati; Pseudomonadota; Betaproteobacteria.